CCUACGGGCGGCUGCAGUGGGGAAUAUUGGACAAUGGGCGAAAGCCUGAUCCAGCGACGCCGCGUGUGUGAAGAAGGCCUGCGGGUUGUAAAGCACUUUUAGUGGGGAGGAAACGCUCAGACCUAACACGUCUGGGAACUGACUUAACCCAAAGAAAAAGCACCGGCUAACUCUGUGCCAGCAGCCGCGGUAAUACAGAGGGUGCAAGCGUUAAUCGGAAUUACUGGGCGUAAAGCGUGCGUAGACGGUUAUUUAAGUCGGGUGUGAAAGCCCCGGGCUCAACCUGGGAAUGGCAUUCGAGACUGAAUAGCUAGGGUGCGGAAGAGGGAAGCGGAAUUUCCGGUGUAGCGGUGAAAUGCGUAGAUAUCGGAAGGAACAUCAGUGGCGAAAGCGGCUUCCUGGUCCAGCACCGACGUUCAGGCACGAAAGCGUGGGGAGCAAACAGGAUUAGAUACCCCAGUAGUC
Molecule: ribosomal RNA, 465 nt
Filed under: uncultured Gammaproteobacteria bacterium
Lineage: Bacteria; Pseudomonadati; Pseudomonadota; Gammaproteobacteria
Description: bacterial SSU rRNA
Rfam family: Bacterial small subunit ribosomal RNA
Source: RNAcentral